GACGAACGCUGGCGGCGUGCUUAACACAUGCAAGUCGAACGGAAAGGCCCUGCUUUUGUGGGGUGCUCGAGUGGCGAACAGGUGAGUAACACGUGAGUAACCUGCCCUUGACUUUGGGAUAACUUCAGGAAACUGGGGCUAAUACCGGAUAGGAGCUCCUGCUGCAUGGUGGGGGUUGGAAAGUUUCGGCGGUUGGGGAUGGACUCGCGGCUUAUCAGCUUGUUGGUGGGGUAGUGGCUUACCAAGGCCUUGACGGGUAGCCGGCCUGAGAGGGUGACCGGCCACAUUGGGACUGAGAUACGGCCCAGACUCCUACGGGAGGCAGCAGUGGGGAAUAUUGCACAAUGGGCGGAAGCCUGAUGCAGCAACGCCGCGUGCGGGAUGACGGCCUUCGGGUUGUAAACCGCUUUCGCCUGUGACGAAGCGUGAGUGACGGUAAUGGGUAAAGAAGCACCGGCUAACUACGUGCCAGCAGCCGCGGUGAUACGUAGGGUGCGAGCGUUGUCCGGAUUUAUUGGGCGUAAAGGGCUCGUAGGUGGUUGAUCGCGUCGGAAGUGUAAUCUUGGGGCUUAACCCUGAGCGUGCUUUCGAUACGGGUUGACUUGAGGAAGGUAGGGGAGAAUGGAAUUCCUGGUGGAGCGGUGGAAUGCGCAGAUAUCAGGAGGAACACCAGUGGCGAAGGCGGUUCUCUGGGCCUUUCCUGACGCUGAGGAGCGAAAGCGUGGGGAGCGAACAGGCUUAGAUACCCUGGUAGUCCACGCUGUAAACGGUGGGUACUAGGUGUGGGGUCCAUUCCACGGGUUCCGUGCCGUAGCUAACGCUUUAAGUACCCCGCCUGGGGAGUACGGCCGCAAGGCUAAAACUCAAAGGAAUUGACGGGGCCCCGCACAAGCGGCGGAGCAUGCGGAUUAAUUCGAUGCAACGCGUAGAACCUUACCUGGGUUUGACAUGGAUCGGGAGUGCUCAGAGAUGGGUGUGCCUCUUUUGGGGUCGGUUCACAGGUGGUGCAUGGCUGCCGUCAGCUCGUGUCGUGAGAUGUUGGGUUAAGUCCCGCAACGAGCGCAACCCUUGUUCACUGUUGCCAGCACGUUAUGGUGGGGACUCAGUGGAGACCGCCGGGGUCAACUCGGAGGAAGGUGGGGAUGACGUCAAGUCAUCAUGCCCCUUAUGUCCAGGGCUUCACGCAUGCUACAAUGGCUGGUACAGAGAGUGGCGAGCCUGUGAGGGUGAGCGAAUCUCGGAAAGCCGGUCUCAGUUCGGAUUGGGGUCUGCAACUCGACCUCAUGAAGUCGGAGUCGCUAGUAAUCGCAGAUCAGCAACGCUGCGGUGAAUACGUUCCCGGG
Molecule: ribosomal RNA, 1343 nt
Filed under: uncultured bacterium
Lineage: Bacteria
Description: 16S ribosomal RNA
Rfam family: Bacterial small subunit ribosomal RNA
Source: RNAcentral